AUAAACGCUGGCGGCGUGCCUAACCCAUGCAAGUCGAGCGAUUUGUAGCAAUACAGAGAGCGGCGGAAGGGUGAGUAACACGUAGAAAUCUACCUCGACGGAGGGAACAACCCCGCGAAAGUGGGGCUAAUACCCAAAAAGAUCCGCAAGGAUCAGAGUCGCAAGGCCUGUCGAGAGGAAUCUGCGGCCCAUCAGCUAGUUGGUGAGGUAAUGGCUUACCAAGGCUACGACGGGUAGGGGGUCUGAGAGGACGUCCCCCCACACUGGAACUGAAACACGGUCCAGACGCCUACGGGUGGCAGCAGGGAGGAAUAUUGGACAAUGGGGGAAACCCCGAUCCAGCAACGCCGCGUGAGGGAUGAAGGCCUUCGGGUCGUAAACCUCUUUUAAGGGAGACGAGAAAGGACGGUAUCCCUGGAAUAAGUCACGGCUAACUACGUGCCAGCAGCCGCGGUAAUACGUAGGUGACGAGCGUUAUCCGGAUUUACUGGGCGUAAAGCGCUUGUAGGUGGCUCUGUAAGUUGGGCGUGAAAACACCAGGCUUAACCUGGUGACGCCGUCCAAUACUGCAGGGCUUGAGGAUGUCAGAGGAAGGUGGAAUUCCUGGUGUAGUGGUGAAAUGCGUAGAUAUCAGGAGGAACACCCGUGGCGAAGGCGGCCUUCUGGGGCAUUCCUGACACUGAGAAGCGAAAGCUAGGGGAGCAAACAGGAUUAGAAACCCUGGUAGUCCUAGCCGUAAACGAUGGAUGCUAGGUGUUGGCGGACUUAACCCUGCCAGUGCCGAAGCUAACGCGUUAAGCAUCCCGCCUGGGAAGUACGAUCGCAAGAUUA
RNAcentral lists this ribosomal RNA (831 nucleotides) under uncultured anaerobic bacterium. RNAcentral's name for it is "bacterial SSU rRNA". It matches the Rfam family "Bacterial small subunit ribosomal RNA", at positions 29 to 896 of the family's 1533-position model. The record is from RNAcentral.